Long non-coding RNA from Galeopterus variegatus (Sunda flying lemur), 761 nucleotides. RefSeq lists it as uncharacterized. The transcript is spliced from 2 exons. The record is from RefSeq and is a predicted model, not a curated record. NCBI's taxonomy places the organism in Eukaryota, Metazoa, Chordata, Mammalia, Dermoptera, Cynocephalidae.
ACAAAUCUUUCCAUGAACUUUUUGAAGUACCCUCGUGUGUGUGCACAUCUGUUUGCCCAUUCUUUUUUCUUCUCUCCGUAGAUAAAAAAGGAGACUUUUUAUUCUAUAAUUAUAGGUUAUUCUGAAGUUGAAAUUGAACUAAGUAUUAAAAUUAAAGAGAGCAGAGUAACAUAGUAAAACUCUUACCUUGCAUUAAUUAUUAGGAUAUCAAGUCUACUACAGCACUUCCAAUUCUAUUCAUGUGAUUGCACACAUAGAAAAUCAUGUUUAUUAUAGAGCACACUGAGGAAAAUGCACAAGGCUGCUCCAAGCCAGAGGCCUCCUCAGGCCCUGCCUGGCCACCCCAAGCUGACAAGAACCUUAUCUUAGCACAUUAAUUAGGAAACUCUGAUCUAAUCACAUUCCUGGUAAAUGUAGUCAUUUUUUACCAUAAGAGAUUAUUAUUUUUAAAUUAAGAAACAUUUUAUUUAUAUAUAAGGUUACAUGUAACAUAUGUGUACGGUUAAAAAUAAUAGAAAUGAAUAUUUGUAAACCCAAUAAUCAGAUUAAGAAAGAAACAUUUCCAUUAUGUUUGGAUCCCCCACGUAGUGCUGAUCAAUUGUGCCUUUUCUGCCAGAGGUUAUCGUUUUCUUAAAUUUCAGGUUUAUCUUUACUCUUUUUCUUUAUACUUUAAGCACACAUUACUGUAUCUUUACAUGUUUUGGCUUUCUGUGGUUUUUGAACUUUUUAUAAAUAAAAUCAUACUACGUGUAUUUUUCUGA